CUACGUAGGUGGCAAGCGUUGUCCGGAAUUAUUGGGCGUAAAGCGCGCGCAGGCGGUCCUUUAAGUCUGAUGUGAAAGCCCACGGCUCAACCGUGGAGGGUCAUUGGAAACUGGAGGACUUGAGUGCAGAAGAGGAAAGUGGAAUUCCAAGUGUAGCGGUGAAAUGCGUAGAGAUUUGGAGGAACACCAGUGGCGAAGGCGGCUUUCUGGUCUGUAACUGACGCUGAGGCGCGAAAGCGUGGGGAGCAAACAGGAUUAGAUACCCUGGUAGUCCACGCCGUAAACGAUGAGUGCUAAGUGUUAGGGGGUUUCCGCCCCUUAGUGCUGCAGCUAACGCAUUAAGCACUCCGCCUGGGGAGUACGGUCGCAAGACUGAAACUCAAAUGAAUUGACGGGG
RNAcentral lists this ribosomal RNA (397 nucleotides) under uncultured bacterium. Its description in RNAcentral is "partial 16S ribosomal RNA". It matches the Rfam family "Bacterial small subunit ribosomal RNA", at positions 523 to 918 of the family's 1533-position model. The record is from RNAcentral.